This 253-nucleotide ribosomal RNA is filed under the name uncultured bacterium. RNAcentral's name for it is "partial 16S ribosomal RNA". It matches the Rfam family "Bacterial small subunit ribosomal RNA", at positions 524 to 776 of the family's 1533-position model. The record is from RNAcentral.
UACGUAGGGUGCGAGCGUUAAUCGGAAUUACUGGGCGUAAAGCGUGCGCAGGCGGUUUUGUAAGCCAGAUGUGAAAUCCCCGGGCUUAACCUGGGAAUGGCAUUUGGGACUGCAAGGCUCGAGUGCGGCAGAGGAGAUUGGAAUUCCUGGUGUAGCAGUGAAAUGCGUAGAUAUCAGGAGGAACACCGAUGGCGAAGGCAGGUCUCUGGGCUGACACUGACGCUCAUGCACGAAAGCGUGGGGAGCAAACAGG